UACGUAGGGUGCAAGCGUUGUCCGGAAUUACUGGGCGUAAAGCGCGCGCAGGCGGUCUUCCAAGUCAGUGGUGAAAGCCUGGAGCUCAACUCCAGAACUGCCAUUGAAACUGUUAGACUUGAGUACGAGAGAGGUGAGUGGAAUUCCCAGUGUAGAGGUGAAAUUCGUAGAUAUUGGGAAGAACACCGGUGGCGAAGGCGGCUCACUGGCUCAUUACUGACGCUCAGGCGCGAUAGCGUGGGGAUCAAACAGG
Molecule: ribosomal RNA, 253 nt
Filed under: uncultured bacterium
Lineage: Bacteria
Description: partial 16S ribosomal RNA
Rfam family: Bacterial small subunit ribosomal RNA
Source: RNAcentral